GUCGGGUGUGGUGGCGCACGCCUGUGAUCCCAGCUACUCAGGAGACUGAGGCAGAAGAAUUUCUUGAACCCGGGAUACGGGGGUUGCAGUGAGCUGAGAUCUCACCAUUGCACUCCAGCCUGGGUGAUAGAGCAAGACUCUGUCUCAA
This is an unclassified non-coding RNA of Macaca fascicularis (crab-eating macaque), 148 nucleotides long. It matches the Rfam family "Metazoan signal recognition particle RNA". From Rfam's summary of the family: The signal recognition particle (SRP) is a universally conserved ribonucleoprotein. It is involved in the co-translational targeting of proteins to membranes. NCBI's taxonomy places the organism in Eukaryota, Metazoa, Chordata, Mammalia, Primates, Cercopithecidae. The record is from Ensembl.